This 275-nucleotide ribosomal RNA is filed under the name uncultured prokaryote. Its description in RNAcentral is "partial 16S ribosomal RNA". It matches the Rfam family "Bacterial small subunit ribosomal RNA", at positions 524 to 798 of the family's 1533-position model. The record is from RNAcentral.
CACGGGGGUUGCGAGCGUUGUCCGGAAUUACUAGGCGUAAAGGGCAGGCAGGCGGAUCCAUAAGUUUAUCGUUUAAGGCGUCGGCUUAACCGGCGUAGGGCGGUAGAUACUGUGGAUCUGGAAUGCGGUUGGGGAAGACAGAAUUCCUGGUGUAGCAGUGAAAUGCGUAGAUAUCAGGAGGAACACCGAUGGCGAAGGCAGCCCCCUGGGCCUGUACUGACGCUCAUGCACGAAAGCGUGGGGAGCAAACAGGAUUAGAUACCCGCGUAGUCCCU